AGCAGCCGCGGUAAUUCCAGCUCCAAUAGCGUAUAUUAAAGUUGCUGCAGUUAAAAAGCUCGUAGUUGAAUUUCGGGACUAAUAUGUCGGUCGUGCCUCGGUACGUACUGGCUUAUUGGUUUCUCCUUUCUGAAGAACCAUGAUGUCAUUUAUUUGGUGUCGUGGGGAAUCAGGACUGUUACUUUGAAAAAAUUAGAGUGUUUAAAGCAGGCAUUAGCUUGAAUACAUUAGCAUGGAAUAAUGAAAUAGGACGUUCGAACCUAUUUUGUUGGUUUUAGGAUCAACGUAAUGAUUAAUAGGGAUAGUUGGGGGCAUUAGUAUUCAAUUGUCAGAGGUGAAAUUCUUGGAUUUAUUGAAGACUAACUACUGCGAAAGCAUUUGCCAAGGAUGUUUUCAUUAAUCAAGAACGAAAGUUAGGGGAUCGAAGACGAUCAGAUACCGUCGUAGUCUUAACCAUAAACUAUGCCGACUAGGGAUCGGAUGAUGUUAAUUUUUUAAUGACUCAUUCG
RNAcentral lists this ribosomal RNA (509 nucleotides) under uncultured Glomus. RNAcentral describes it as "SSU rRNA". It matches the Rfam family "Eukaryotic small subunit ribosomal RNA", at positions 569 to 1082 of the family's 1831-position model. Lineage: Eukaryota; Fungi; Glomeromycota; Glomeromycetes; Glomerales; Glomeraceae. The record is from RNAcentral.